This is a long non-coding RNA of Dalotia coriaria, 1363 nucleotides long. RefSeq lists it as uncharacterized. The transcript is spliced from 4 exons. Lineage: Eukaryota; Metazoa; Arthropoda; Insecta; Coleoptera; Staphylinidae. The record is from RefSeq and is a predicted model, not a curated record.
UGCCGCGUCGCCAUAAAUGCGCGAUGUACUUUACAAUUUCUGCAAGUAAACGACGACAGUUAAUGUAUGUGGAAUGCAAGGCGUUAGGGAUAUCUGGACGCCGUGCGGACAGUGAACAACCCUAGGAAAGCGAUGUAAAAGGAAUUGUUUCUGCACUCAACAUAAAAUCACAGUACUCGUAUGCCAACUUUCUGUAUCUAUAUGUUUCAGGGAGAAGCUACCAGAAAAAUUGCGACCCACGCCACGCCUAUGUUAUCGAAUGAGAUGGUACCCUGAAAAGGGUUCUUCUCGCCAUCCCGGCAAUUGGUGUAGUACUGGUGCCAGUUUAUGCAACCACUUUGAUUACUCAUGUAUUCCUCUAAUGCAUGCCGCUGUGAUCGUUCUUGCUACAGAUGAAGUCCUGCUCCUGGGAGAUGGAAAAAUACAACGACAAGUCUCUGAAACACAAUCACUCCGAUUAGCAUCCGGAUGACCAUCGGCGAACAGAAAAUUAUUAGGCACGACGAGGUGUUAGUCACAGUCAUAUAGAGUUGAUUAGAGAUGGUUAAUUUUGAAAAUGAUUUCGUUUCGUUCCGCGAAGAAAUCCUUUUCGAAUUCGUUCAUUUUCAUUCGUCUGUCAACAGGUAAAGUCGCCAGUCGCGGGCGAGUGAUCGAAUGUGAAACAAAUCGAAAUCAAAUGAACGUAACAUAAGAUGAGGGUGAGGGGGGGCGCAACACAAACGAACGAAUGCUUAGACACAAGAAGAUUUUUAUACGAAUGCAACCAGAGAUUUCUAACCCACAGAACAGAGUGAAGACGAAUAGUUGCCUAUUGCGUCCCUUUCCGACAUGCUCAUUCACCACGUACACGUACAUAAGACACCAGGGGUAUAGAAUAGAAUACAAGAGUGAAGUGAAGAAGAAAUGAUGCCAGGCAGACCACCAACAAGCACAAGUUAAAGAAUUAAGACUGAUUGAAAUCGGUGAAGGGAUAAACUUCAGUUUAGAAUUUCACGGAGCUGAGCUGGAGGAGGAGAUUUUCCCGUCCGAAGUUUCACUCCGACGCAAAUCCAAUAUGAAACAUGGAAAACUCAUUAAAUUUGCAUAAGCCCGCCACGCCGACUGGCCUUCUAACGAAUUUUAUACUUUUCACAGCAUUCGGGAUAUGGACUUUUUUAUUGUUCUUUAAUGAAGUCCAUGAAUGCAGCGCACACACUAACUGCAAACUGUUUCACUUUUCCGAAUGAAUAUUGCCGCUGACGGCUUUUUUUUUUAUUAUUAUGCGCGUUGUCUGUUCGGUGAAUUAUUAGUAAAACGAGUGGAUAAUACGCGCGCAGUUCAGUCGCAUGCAAUCGCUCAACUUGAAUUUUAUUGACUGUAAUAA